GGCGGCGUGCUUAACACAUGCAAGUCGAACGAAGCACUCUAUUUGAUUUUCUUCGGAAAUGAAGAUUUUGUGACUGAGUGGCGGACGGGUGAGUAACGCGUGGGUAACCUGCCUCAUACAGGGGGAUAACAGUUGGAAACGACUGCUAAUACCGCAUAAGCGCACAGGAUUGCAUGAUCCGGUGUGAAAAACUCCGGUGGUAUGGGAUGGACCCGCGUCUGAUUAGCCAGUUGGCAGGGUAACGGCCUACCAAAGCGACGAUCAGUAGCCGACCUGAGAGGGUGACCGGCCACAUUGGGACUGAGACACGGCCCAAACUCCUACGGGAGGCAGCAGUGGGGAAUAUUGCACAAUGGGGGAAACCCUGAUGCAGCGACGCCGCGUGAGCGAAGAAGUAUUUCGGUAUGUAAAGCCCUAUCAGCAGGGAAGAAGAAUGACGGUACCUGACUAAGAAGCACCGGCUAAAUACGUGCCAGCAGCCGCGGUAAUACGUAUGGUGCAAGCGUUAUCCGGAUUUACUGGGUGUAAAGGGAGCGCAGGCGGUGCGGCAAGUCUGAUGUGAAAGCCCGGGGCUCAACCCCGGUACUGCAUUGGAAACUGUCGUACUAGAGUGUCGGAGGGGUAAGUGGAAUUCCUAGUGUAGCGGUGAAAUGCGUAGAUAUUAGGAGGAACACCAGUGGCGAAGGC
RNAcentral lists this ribosomal RNA (687 nucleotides) under uncultured Lachnospiraceae bacterium. RNAcentral describes it as "bacterial SSU rRNA". It matches the Rfam family "Bacterial small subunit ribosomal RNA", at positions 38 to 722 of the family's 1533-position model. The record is from RNAcentral. Lineage: Bacteria; Bacillati; Bacillota; Clostridia; Lachnospirales; Lachnospiraceae.